Molecule: ribosomal RNA, 1578 nt
Filed under: metagenome
Description: bacterial LSU rRNA
Rfam family: Bacterial large subunit ribosomal RNA
Source: RNAcentral
AAAAGCGGGUGAAAAGCCCGCUCGCCGGAAGACCGAGGGUUCCUGCCCAACGUUAAUCGGGGCAGGGUGAGUCGACCCCUAGGCGAGGCCGAAAGGCGUAGUCGAUGGGAAACAGGUUAAUAUUCCUGUACUUGGUGUUACUGCGAAGGGGGGACGGAGAAGGCUAUGUUGGCCGGGCGACGGUUGUCCCGGUUUAAGCGUGUAGGCUGGUUUUCCAGGCAAAUCCGGAAAAUCAAGGCUGAGGCGUGAUGACGAGGCACUACGGUGCUGAAGCAACAAAUGCCCUGCUUCCAGGAAAAGCCUCUAAGCAUCGGGUAACAUCAAAUCGUACCCCAAACCGACACAGGUGGUCAGGUAGAGAAUACCAAGGCGCUUGAGAGAACUCGGGUGAAGGAACUAGGCAAAAUGGUGCCGUAACUUCGGGAGAAGGCACGCUGAUAUGUAGGUGAAGCGACUUGCUCGUGGAGCUGAAAUCAGUCGAAGAUACCAGCUGGCUGCAACUGUUUAUUAAAAACACAGCACUGUGCAAACACGAAAGUGGACGUAUACGGUGUGACGCCUCCCCGGUGCCGGAAGGUUAAUUGAUGGGGUUAGCGCAAGCGAAGCUCUUGAUCGAAGCCCCGGUAAACGGCGGCCGUAACAAUAACGGUCCUAAGGUAGCGAAAUUCCUUGUCGGGUAAGUUCCGACCUGCACGAAUGGCGUAAUGAUGGCCAGGCUGUCUCCACCCGAGACUCAGUGAAAUUGAACUCGCUGUGAAGAUGCAGUGUACCCGCGGCAAGACGGAAAGACCCCGUGAACCUUUACUAUAGCUUGACACUGAACAUUGAGCCUUGAUGUGUAGGAUAGGUGGGAGGCUUUGAAGUGUGGACGCCAGUCUGCAUGGAGCCGACCUUGAAAUACCACCCUUUAAUGUUUGAUGUUCUAACGUUGACCCGUAAUCCGGGUUGCGGACAGUGUCUGGUGGGUAGUUUGACUGGGGCGGUCUCCUCCUAAAGAGUAACGGAGGAGCACGAAGGUUGGCUAAUCCUGGUCGGACAUCAGGAGGUUAGUGCAAUGGCAUAAGCCAGCUUGACUGCGAGCGUGACGGCGCGAGCAGGUGCGAAAGCAGGUCAUAGUGAUCCGGUGGUUCUGAAUGGAAGGGCCAUCGCUCAACGGAUAAAAGGUACUCCGGGGAUAACAGGCUGAUACCGCCCAAGAGUUCAUAUCGACGGCGGUGUUUGGCACCUCGAUGUCGGCUCAUCACAUCCUGGGGCUGAAGUAGGUCCCAAGGGUAUGGCUGUUCGCCAUUUAAAGUGGUACGCGAGCUGGGUUUAGAACGUCGUGAGACAGUUCGGUCCCUAUCUGCCGUGGGCGCUGGAGAACUGAGGGGGGCUGCUCCUAGUACGAGAGGACCGGAGUGGACGCAUCACUGGUGUUCGGGUUGUCAUGCCAAUGGCACUGCCCGGUAGCUAAAUGCGGAAGAGAUAAGUGCUGAAAGCAUCUAAGCACGAAACUUGCCCCGAGAUGAGUUCUCCCUGACUCCUUGAGAGUCCUGAAGGAACGUUGAAGACGACGACGUUGAUUGGCCGGGUGUGUAA